Molecule: RNA transcript, 1647 nt
Organism: Corylus avellana
Lineage: Eukaryota; Viridiplantae; Streptophyta; Magnoliopsida; Fagales; Betulaceae
Gene name: E3 ubiquitin-protein ligase, putative (DUF1644)
Source: RefSeq, a predicted model, not a curated record
CAGACCCUACCCAAUACUGCUCCUGAGAGUCUGAAACUGACUUCCCCAAUCGCCCACACAAACCGAAGAGAACCAAGUCUCUGUCUUUCUCUCUGUCCAGUUCCGUUUAAGGCUUUAUCUCUAUCUGGGUUUGUUAAUUCCAGCCCAGAAUUUCAAUAUAUGUAUGCAGCUUUGUAUAAUAGCAUGUUGUACUACUUCAAGAACUCGAUCUAUUUAGUUUGACGCAAAAGCUUGGCUAGAUUUUUUUCCUUGAUACUUCCAUCAAGUUGUCGUUUGAUUGACAAUUUCUAUCUAGGAGUGAGCUGCAUGCCAUCUGCUUGUAUAUUUUCAAGUGAAAAGUCUCUUCAUGGCCCUAAGACCUUUUUAUGAAAGAGGAUGUCAACCCAAUGUAUCCAAUACGGACGAUAUCCAAUUAAAUACCAAUUGGGAAGAUGUGAUUUGCCCUAUAUGCUUGGACUUCCCUCACAAUGGUGUACUCCUCCAAUGCUCAUCUUAUGGGAAAGGGUGUCGUCCUUUUGUUUGUGACACUGACCAUUUGCACUCAAAUUGCUUGGACCGGUUCAAAAGUGCUUACGGUAUGUCAUCACCUUCAACAUCUGAUGCGACUCCUGUGGAAAACACUGAGCCAGUGGUAUCCAAAGGCAACGAUAAACCAAGCUGUCCCUUGUGUAGAGGAGAGGUUACUGGAUGGGUGGUUGUUGAUAAGGCCCGUCUAUAUCUGGAUGAAAAGAAGCGUUGUUGUGAGGAGGAACGAUGUACAUUUAGGGGAACAUACUUAGAACUACAAAAACAUGCUCAACUGGAACACCCUCAUGCACGUCCAUCAAAGAUUGAUCCUGCUCGGCAGCUUGAUUGGGAGAAUUUCCAGCAGUCCUCUGAGAUCAUAGAUGUUUUGAGCACUAUUCAUUCAGAAGUCCCACGCGGGGUGGUUUUGGGAGACUAUGUAAUUGAAUAUGGGGAUGAUGAAACUGGAGAUGAGUUUGAGGACUUUCCUGGUGAUGAAGGGAACUGGUGGACCUCUUGUAUCUUGUAUCAGGUGUUUGAUAACUUCAGGAAUUCUAGAAACAGAAGAAGGUCAAGAGUUAGUGAUACAAGAAGGGGAAAUCGCCGUACAAGUUAUGAUACUUCCAUUUCUGAUGAGGGUUCUGUAACAUCUGUAGAAUAUUCUGACUAUAGGGUAGAUGAGACAGAUGAUGAGUUUGUGAGUACAAAUAUCCCCUCAAGGGGCAGCUCCAGUCAUCGCAGUUCUCGAAGACGCCGUUCCCGCUUUUACGACAGUUAGGUAUGCGCUGCUCAUGGAUACUCUUUUACCCAAUCGAAUCUCUGUUGACCUUUUCUUGGGGUCUUAAAAUUGUUUGGUUAGAAGUGAAGCGAAAAACAGAGAGAGAGAUCCACCGGAAGUGGAAAGCCUUCUAUGCUUGCUGUUGAGAGUUGGAAAAGCUACAUCUGGAAUCUUAUCUUUGUUACAUUUGUGAUGGGAUAUGCUGAUUAGACUUGAAUGAACUCAACAUGUGGUUAUGCUGUGAUCCCUUCUGUUAACUCUUCAACAUUUCUCUUUUGCUAUAAAUAUUUUUUUUUAUACUCUGAUAGAAGUCUGAAGGAUGAUGGGGAGAAGUAUUAUAACUAUGGAAAGUUUGCUGAUAAACC